Molecule: long non-coding RNA, 372 nt
Organism: Dermacentor andersoni
Lineage: Eukaryota; Metazoa; Arthropoda; Arachnida; Ixodida; Ixodidae
Source: RefSeq, a predicted model, not a curated record
CGUGCGAGCGCAGUUUGACUUGAGCAAUCGUGGGCUUGGACUCCGUCACAUUUGCUUUCGUCAUAUGCGAGUCAGGGGCUUGCCGACAGAUGAGUUGAGAUGUACACAUCAACGCCAGCUCACAAAGCAUCUGAUACGGCAAUCAGCCAGCCACCUCCGCAGAUGGAGAAUUCUGCAGUUUCCAAUCAUACUGUUUCUGUUGUCCUUGGUAGAGAUGUUGAUUGUACACAGAGGGAAUAUAUUGUAGGACAAUAAAAAUAACUUGUCAUGACAAGGGCCAUAUAUGGUAGAAAUUAUAGUAGACUAUGACCAGCAUUAGCGCAAGCCCUGCGGUAUCUAAAAAAUGGAUAAAGUGCUGAUUUUCAUAUGCUA